RNAcentral lists this long non-coding RNA (4578 nucleotides) under Podarcis lilfordi (Lilford's wall lizard). The record is from RNAcentral. Lineage: Eukaryota; Metazoa; Chordata; Lepidosauria; Squamata; Lacertidae.
GGUAAUCCCUCAAUCUACUGCUAAAAAUGGCCGGUUGAUGUGCUACUAAAACAGCAUUCAGAUAAGUAGAUUAUAUCAAUACAGCCUCCAAAGCAGAUGUAUCUGAUUGUCGUAGCUUUUAGGUAGGUCUCUUUAUUUUGAUACACAUUCAAUAUUUAUAAAUGUUAAGGGGAAGCAGUUGAUCAUGGUUAGUUUGGGCUGGCUUGGAUGCAAGAAGAAUCGUUGGCGUUGCAUGGUAAAAAUGAGCUUUCCCCUAUCCAGGCUUCCACCUGCUCUGACUGACUUUGGUAUUUGAACCCAGACAAACUAUGAUUAAUCUUAAUUAUGGUUAGUGGAAAUGAAACAACUUCAAAUAAUACUUUUAGAACUAGCUCAUUUUCAUUAAGAUUCUCUGUAUUUUGUCUGGACACACUGAACUGUGGUUUAAUCUAAAAAAUGGAAGCAACCGGCCAUGGGUUUCAUGGCUAAACCAUAGUUUUGCGGUAUGUUCUCACACUAUUAAAAAUUAUAUAUUGUUAAGAGUUUGUACCAGACUCUCCAAAUUCCUGGGUCCAGUAGGGGUUGGAAUUUAGUCAAUUCAAAUGUUAAAAUAUAAGCCAGUUUCCUGACCAGGAAGUCAACUGUGGUGAUGGGCCAUUAGGAGGACAAAAGGAAGGUGAUGGACCAUUAGGAAAGAGACGGAGCUCUGUGCCAGAUGGCAAAUGGAGGGGCCCCUCCCUCAACUCAAGACAAAAAAGGAGAGUUUAAAGUAGAGUCUUAGAGUUGAGUUGUCCAUGAUGUGAUCUAGGGGGAAAAGGUAGCAGGCUGUUGAAGACAGAAAGCUAGAGAGAGGAUCGGAGCCAUGGCUGAUACAGUGGUACCUCAGGUUACAUACGCUUCAGGUUACAGACUCCGCUAACCCAGAAAUAGUGCUUCAGGUUAAGUACUUUGCUUCAGGAUGAGAACAGAAAUCGUGCUCCGGCGGCGCGGCAGCAGCGGGAGGCCCCAUUAGCUAAAGUGGUGCUUCAGGUUAAGAACAGUUUCAGGUUAAGAACAGACCUCCGGAAUGAAUUAAGUACUUAACCCGAGGUACCACUGUACCUAUUUGAAUCCAUGGCUGCAGCUAUGGGAGAAAUAAGUCCCUCUUGGGAUGUCAGUGGUGUGAACCCCUCCAUCGUAGGCUCAGGUUGUAUAUAUGUGUAAAUAAACCAUAUAUCAUAAAGACACCACAAUCUGUGCUGUGCCUCAUUUCGAAAAGGAAACACGAACCCUGGGUACGUGCGUCUGGAGCGCCUGGAUUCUUGCCCCAUUCAGAGAUUGGGAUGAUGCGCAACAAUAUAUAAUGGCUUGUAUCCAAAGAGAUGUGUGUAUACACAGUGCUGCUCCGUUUUUCUUCCUUUCUGGAAAUAGGCUCUCACAGAUUGCGGCAACAGAAACUCCCUGAUGUUCAGGGAUUUAUUUAUUUUUAGGAGGCUCCUUCUGGAAACCUAUGAGCAUUCUGUUGAAUCCUGACCAAUACCUUUUUUAAAGCCCCCUACCCCACCCAAAGUGGAAUCCAGCCAGAUGCAAUGCAUUUUUUAUUUCUUAAAAAUAAUUUAACGUCCUGUGGAAAUGUGUGUGGCAAGGUAUUUGGGCUGGUUAGUGCUCCUUAAGGUAGCAUCAGGAGCUGUCACUGUUGUAAACACCAUGAGACAGAGCAGUUGUACUGUGGCGAUUGGUGAUAUGGUAUUUCUCUCGUCAAACAGAGAUUUCAACAGAAUGUUGCUAAGGGAAGUUGGGCUGGAAUGACACUUUCCCUCAUUAGAAUGAAUACCGUCAGAUGGGUUACAUUCGGAAAUAUAUUCUGUGACUGGCAUUUUGAAGCUGUCUUUCCUUGUCUGGCUCUUCCAAACUUUUGUUCAGAACCGCUUAGAUGUUCCUCUUUCCUGAGGUAUUUUUUUCUAGAGGGGGGAGGGAUUAAAAAAUCAAUUGUCCACAUUCUUCCUCCUUUGUUGGGAUUCAUUCAUAUAAUCAUAUUGUUCAGCUGAUCUUUGUGAUGCCAGUGGAACUGCCCCAUAAACUACUUCCUAUUAGUCUUUAUUCCCCCCUCCCCCUGAAAAGGAGAGCCCAUGUGAUGCAGUGACAUUUCAUUAUAUUUUUAGCUGUACACGUGAGAUGUUUUAUUCCAGAGGUCACCGACCGUUUUAGGCCUGUGGGCAUAUUUAAUAAUAAUAAUAAUAAUAAUCUUUAUUGCGGUCCAUCGACCCAUAACAUGGAUUCAGAAUAAAAUACAGUUUCAUACAGACAACCCCUCAGGGAAGGGAGACCGAAGCGUUAUGUUGAUCUUUGAUUCGUAUGACUACUGAAAGAAACUUUGCCACUGUGAUAUCAUUGGACUUGUUGUCCAGAAGAUAUUUGAUAUAGUAGGCUUCAGAUUGACCUGGCCGAUUUGCCAAUAGUGGUUUAAUCAAUAGUUCCCUAGCUUGAUCAUAUUGUCCGCAAGAGGGCAUAUUUGGAUUUUGGAGCAAGUGCCUGGUCAUUUCUCUCCCCUCUGCACAAAAGAAAGUGUGUAUACACAGGGUAAAAAGGAUCGGGGUAGAAAGUUAGACCCAGUAGAAAUAUUCUGAGCCUUCAAAAACACAUGGAGCUAAAACAGAAAAUGGGGGAGAGCAUCACUCAAAGAUGUUCACUGUCUCAAGAGGGCAGUAGCUGGGUGUGGGGAAGGAGGGGUCUGAGGCCUGGGGAAUACCUCAAUAUGCAAAUAUGCAUAUGAUAUGCAUAUUUACAAAGAUGUGUUAAUCACACAGGAACGCCAUCAAAAGGGAACUGCUAGCAAAUCAUACAUCUCUCUCCAUACCCUAUUUUCUUUUAGUUUACAUUUGUUUUGUUCUUUUAGGGUUUAGCUGGAGGUGUUAGGGGGGGAAACAGAGCACUCUAGAAGUUAGUUAUAAUUUCUAUGUGGAUGGGGGUUCCUCUCUCUUAUGUCUUACAGCUAGUGCUACAGACUUUUUGGUAGCAGUGGUGCCGGCAAUGGGCUGAGAAGGAGAGACAGCUAUGUCAACUUGUCCUAAUUCUAGCCCUGAUCCUCCAGUCGUACUGUAUAAAUGCUUCUCUUGAGCUGUUUGCAGAAGAGCAAUAAUACAGAAGUGUUAUGAGAAACCACACAGUAGGAAGACUACCUUUGAAUUGUGGCCUUCAGAGACGACAGUUUUAGCAUAUCCAUGUUGCGUCCUGUUCAGGGGAGAAGCUACAAGAAUAAUUGCUAAUCUGGAAAAACAGGUAGAAUUGAAUGAAACAGGAGGUUUAUGAAACUGGGGGUUCUAGAGUUGUCCAUGCAGUGGAAGACACAGCAGUUCUGGGCAGAGAAGACUAAUUAAGGCUUUUGAUAACCUAGAUGAGUGUGAGGUCAACGUGGAAAGAGAAUGAAGAAUGGUAAUAUGAUUUUUCUUCGGCCAGAGCAGGGUGGGGCACACCAAAGAAACUAGGUGCAUUUAGGAUUAGAAAUUGAAUUAAAUAUUUCCGGAAGUUAGAAUAAGGGAAACCACAGGUCCAAUAGGGCAAAGCCUUUCUUUUUUCCUGCCAUGUGUGCAAUGGAAAAAUGAUUAGAAUUUCAGAUGAGGAUUGCCUAGAGAAACUGACACUUUAAAACAUGGUUUGAAUCUGGCUUUGUGUUGUAGCUGUUCUCCAUUCGGCCGUUGGAGUGCUUGGUUUUCUCGAGUCUGAAUGCUCAGUGUCUCUGUGUGGAGAAACAGCGCUGGACCUGCGCAAGCAGUUUAGGGGAUAAUCUGGGGGGAAAGGCAACGUAAAGAGGAGAAGACAGAGAAUAAAGUUGCAUUGCAGAGGAUGGUACGAGAGAGUUGUUAGGAGUAUAGAGUCAAAAAAACCCCACAUCCAUUCACCAAAAUCAUUAACACUUUGGCAAGCCAGUGACUCUCUUGGGCUACAAUCCCAAAGCACACUUUGGCAGAAAAAAAAAGUCUGACUUCCAAGUUAAAAAAAAGAAAUGUAAUUAAGAUCAGGUUGUUCGUCUCUUAAGAGCAUCGAGAAUCCAUUUAUGGCUUCUCACAUAUGGCCUUAUUGCGUCAACAGUUGCAUUCUCUCUCCAUCAGGCUGUGCGCACUGACUAGUUAUUACCACUACAAUGAAGAUUUUGCUAGCACAUAAUUUCACUGAUUCAUUCUGAACUCACCAUGGCAAGAAAUAAUCCUGAAUGCCUUCGCCUUACUGCCGAGGCUUCACCAGAUGCUGUUGUACCAGUAAAGUUUCAUUGCUGAGCAACUGUAGUAUAUGGAGCCAUCUGGGGCUGCACCAUGUAGAUUGUUUGAAGUGGAGAAGCAGCAGAAUUCUAGUUUCCUUCUGCCUGCCUGCUGGGCAGGAAUCUCCUGGGGGUGCUGUGGAGCAAGGUGACCCAACCUUUUAAAAUAAAACAAUAUUCAUUUUAUUGAUUUUUAUUUAAAGUAUUUAUUGGCUGCACGUCAUCAGAUUUCUGUUCUGCAUACAAAAUUGAAAAUAAUUCAAAAAACACAAAUGGAUGGUUUUUUAUUUUUAAAAAAGUCCAAUGGUGAAAUAAAUUAUAGAAGAAGCUAAAACACAACACAGCUAAGUAAGAAAAGCAGUUAC